This is a long non-coding RNA of Zingiber officinale, 1034 nucleotides long. RefSeq lists it as uncharacterized. The transcript is spliced from 2 exons. The record is from RefSeq and is a predicted model, not a curated record. Lineage: Eukaryota; Viridiplantae; Streptophyta; Magnoliopsida; Zingiberales; Zingiberaceae.
CCCAUUAACUGCUGUGGGACAUGAAAGUUGGGUGUGGGAAGAACGACAGGCAGUCACAAGUUCUGCUCUAAAAUCCCUACGCCACCACCCGCAGCGUGAAAUCUGAUCCAAUCCUCCCCUCAUCGCCUCCUAUUAAUACCCACGAGUCGAUCUUCCCUUCGGUAAUCCUCUCAUCCAUGCAAUUCCUUAGUGUUCUAGUUUGAUUUUGCUUUCUCUAAUCGAGAUGUCCGCCUACUCCGGCCAAUAUCACGAUGAGCUUAUUGCCAAUGCUGCUUAUAGAAGUACUGUGUUUAUCUCGAACAGACAAUUUUGACAAGUCAAAACAAAAUGAUCAAGCUUCUGUUCCUGCGAGAUGGAGUCAAAGGAGGGCGACGGCUGGACGUGGCAGAAUGCCACCAAGAUUGACAUAGAGAUCAAAGCAUACUUAUGUGGCAAAAGAUAAUUACGCUUGCUCCCCACGCCGCCCACCUGCCCACCCCAGGACCAAUACGAAAGAGGUAAAUCAUGGUAACUAAGCGGCAAGUGGAAGAGGGGGCCAAGGUCCAGACCGAAGUGAAGUUGUUCUAGGCCGAGCAAGAUGCAGAAGUUGUAACUGCCGAUGCACAACUCACCGUGAAGAAGUCGGAGUGGUUACGCCAAGCCAAGGUAGCCGACGUUGAGGCCGCCAAGACUGUCGCCAUUAGGAACUUCGACCUGGAUCUCAAGCUGGAGAAGAAGGAGAUCGGGAAAGAGGGCCUCAAGAAGAAGCUUGUCAAGGAGGAGGAAGGCUGGGACAUGCCUGAGGUUGGAGACGAGGUUGAAGUGCACUACACUGGGACACUGCUUGAUGGGACUAAGUUUGAUUCCAACUACAAUCGAGGUACACCCUCCAAGUCCAAGCUCGGCCAAGGUCAAGUAAUAAAGGAAUGAGAUGUUGCCCUAGUUACUAUCCCACCUGAAUAUGCAUAUGGCUCCACUGAAUCAAAGCAGGAACUAGCUGUGGUUCCUCCUAAUAACACUGCCUAUUUUAAAGAGGAGAUGAUGUCCUUCGUCAA